GAUGAACGCUGGCGGCGUGCCUAAUACAUGCAAGUCGAGCGAACAGACGAGGAGCUUGCUCCUCUGACGUUAGCGGCGGACGGGUGAGUAACACGUGGAUAACCUACCUAUAAGACUGGGAUAACUUCGGGAAACCGGAGCUAAUACCGGAUAAUAUAUUGCACCGCAUGGUUCACUAGUGAAAGACGGUUUUGCUGUCACUUAUAGAUGGAUCCGCGCCGCAUUAGCUAGUUGGUAAGGUAACGGCUUACCAAGGCAACGAUGCGUAGCCGACCUGAGAGGGUGAUCGGCCACACUGGAACUGAGACACGGUCCAGACUCCUACGGGAGGCAGCAGUAGGGAAUCUUCCGCAAUGGGCGAGAGCCUGACGGAGCAACGCCGCGUGAGUGAUGAAGGUCUUCGGAUCGUAAAACUCUGUUAUUAGGGAAGAACAAAUGUGUAAGUAACUAUGCACGUCUUGACGGUACCUAAUCAGAAAGCCACGGCUAACUACGUG
RNAcentral lists this ribosomal RNA (497 nucleotides) under uncultured bacterium. RNAcentral's name for it is "partial 16S ribosomal RNA". It matches the Rfam family "Bacterial small subunit ribosomal RNA", at positions 28 to 507 of the family's 1533-position model. The record is from RNAcentral.